UAAUUGCUAGGUAUUCUAACGUGUUGGUGAGCUCGGUUCGGCAAUCCGACGAGUGUACGUGAAGGAAUCGAGGAAAGAGCCGGUUUUAGUACUGAUUGUCGCAGCUCGCGGCGUAGGCUUCCUAAAAUCACGGAACCGGAAUCGUAGCAUCGUGAUAGCACUAGAAGGUGGGUGGUGUCAUCCCGAAGCAACUGAGCUUCCCUCUAUGUCUGAGUUAUACUGUUGAUUACAUAUGC
This 236-nucleotide long non-coding RNA is filed under the name Ananas comosus (pineapple). Its description in RNAcentral is "long non-coding RNA (ACOM_LNC001257)". The record is from RNAcentral. Lineage: Eukaryota; Viridiplantae; Streptophyta; Magnoliopsida; Poales; Bromeliaceae.